AAUUUUGCAGCCAUUCCCUAUGUAUCAUGUCAGUACAACAUGGAUGCAAGUCGUCCCAAAGUUAAAUCCAAAGGGACGUGACCUCCUACAGCGGCUCCUGAUCUGUAACCCACCAGGACGACUGUCGGCCGAGGAGGGCAUGCUUCACCAAUACUUCAGUGACCUUGACCCUGCCAUUAAACUUGCUACAGAUAACUCCGCACUCAUUGUACAAGGGAGAUAACCCAUUAGGUUCAUUUUAGGAGACAACAAAUUCUAGUCAAGAGUGUAUGAUCUCAUCGCUUAGGGAAUGUACAUGUGAAUUGUUCCUGGCAUAUUGAAGGGGUGUAAAAUGUUUAUUCUUGGCUGAAUUUUAAAGGAAUGGUCAUCUAAAGAGAUUGUCAAAAGACGUGUUAUUUUUAGUUUGUAUAAAGAUGUGAUUUACAUGUAUAUGCAGCUGAGUAAUUCAGUGUGAAACCAAUUUCAGCUCCAAAAACAAGCAUGCACAUAUACAAGGAAAAUUUGAAUUAAGCAUUGUUUGUACAUAAAAGUAGUGAAUUGAGAAGGAAAAGGGAACGUUUUUCAAAAGAUGUAUGGCUGUGAUUUGUUUGAACAUGUUUUGUUAUAGAUGUAAAUAAUUUACAUUAAUUUAUAA
Molecule: long non-coding RNA, 634 nt
Organism: Saccostrea cuccullata (small rock oyster)
Lineage: Eukaryota; Metazoa; Mollusca; Bivalvia; Ostreida; Ostreidae
Exons: 2
Source: RefSeq, a predicted model, not a curated record